Molecule: ribosomal RNA, 497 nt
Filed under: uncultured bacterium
Lineage: Bacteria
Description: partial 16S ribosomal RNA
Rfam family: Bacterial small subunit ribosomal RNA
Source: RNAcentral
GAUGAACGCUGGCGGCGUGCCUAAUACAUGCAAGUCGAGCGAACAGACGAGGAGCUUGCUCCUCUGACGUUAGCGGCGGACGGGUGAGUAACACGUGGAUAACCUACCUAUAAGACUGGGAUAACUUCGGGAAACCGGCGCUAAUACCGGAUAAUAUAUUGAACCGCAUGGUUCAAUAGUGAAAGACGGUUUUGCUGUCACUUAUAGAUGGAUCCGCGCCGCAUUAGCUAGUUGGUAAGGUAACGGCUUACCAAGGCGACGAUGCGUAGCCGACCUGAGAGGGGGGUCGGCCACACUGGAACUGAGACACGGUCCAGACUCCUACGGUAGGCAGCAGUAGGGAAUCUUCCGCAAAGGGCGAAAGCAUGACGGAGCAGCGCCGCGUGAGUGAUGAAGGUCUUCGGAUCGUAAAACUCUGUUAUUAGGGAAGAACAAAUGUGUAAGUAACUAUGCACGUCGUGACGGUACCUAAUCAGAAAGCCACGGCUAACUACGUG